UCGGCGGUCAUCUGGCUCCCGGAGCUACGGGAGGCGAGUAGUUCUAUAGAGAGGAGUGGAUUACUUUGUCGUGCUCUUGGCCCUCCGAGGGGCAAUCUCGAGCCAUCCUCGCCCUGCCUCCUGGCUCAGUGAGGUCGCGCCCAUGAUGGAAGCUGAGAAUGGAUCCAGUCACAUGAAAGUGGGGAAAGAACUGCCACAGAAAGGAAGGCUCAACCCAGGCACUGGGGAGCCUCUGAAAAGUUCUGAGCAGAGAAGAUACUGGAUGAAACUACGUUGGUGACUGUGUGCUGGAUGGAUCAGAAGGGAACAAAGUUGUCAGGGAUGAACAAAGAAUAACAUAUAUGAGACUAAAAAUUUGGGGGACCCUCAGGAUUCUUGAUGGAGAA
Non-coding RNA from Odocoileus virginianus texanus, 386 nucleotides. The record is from RefSeq and is a predicted model, not a curated record. NCBI's taxonomy places the organism in Eukaryota, Metazoa, Chordata, Mammalia, Artiodactyla, Cervidae.